GGGCAUUAUGCAAUGGGCGAAAUCAAGAGGAUUGGGAGGGGAAGUUGACUAAUCCCAGCUGGCAAAAGCCGGCACGUAUGGGCCCGAGCUUCUGGGAAUUGAAACAUCUUAGUACCAGAAGGGAAAAAUCAAGCGAGAUGCCGUGAGUAGUGGCGAGCGAAAGCGGAGCAAGGGGGCAAAGUAAGUUAAACCGUAGAGGGUAACAGGCCCGUGAAUUACUUAGUAACCUAUGAUUAGACCCGCGUAUGCGUGGAGUAGAAUAAUUUGAAGAAGGGUGAACCAGACAUCCAACAUCGCGAAAAGUAAUGCACCGAGAGAGGAAGUACCGUGAGGGAA
RNAcentral lists this non-coding RNA (336 nucleotides) under Amphimedon queenslandica. RNAcentral's name for it is "Bacterial large subunit ribosomal RNA". The stretch from base 39 to 336 matches the Rfam family "Bacterial large subunit ribosomal RNA", at positions 1 to 512 of the family's 2925-position model. Lineage: Eukaryota; Metazoa; Porifera; Demospongiae; Haplosclerida; Niphatidae. The record is from Rfam by way of RNAcentral.